GGACAGAAAGCAUCAUAUGAGUAAAGAAUGAGGGAUACUUCCAGAAGUUCAUAAGGGAGUCUCCUAAACUCUGAUUGUAGGAACCACAGGGGUCAAGGACACCACAAGAAAUGUCACAGAAGCAACUAACCAUGGUCAUAGGGGCUCACAGAGACUGAACCAACAAGCAGGGAGCCUACAUGGAACAGAGGAGGAGUGGAUUGGAAGUGAAUUGGGACCAGCAGCGAGAGGUCUCAUGGAACCUGAUGGAAGAAGAAACAGAAACAAUGUAAGAGCCAGGGGUGAUGAAGGACACCAAGAAAUUAAGGACCUCUAAAUCAAAAUGAGAAUACCUCAUGAACACUCACAGGGACUGAAGUGGUAUGAUCUGGUUCUACAUGUGUCUGCACCAGGUCUU
Molecule: long non-coding RNA, 397 nt
Organism: Alexandromys fortis (reed vole)
Lineage: Eukaryota; Metazoa; Chordata; Mammalia; Rodentia; Cricetidae
Exons: 3
Source: RefSeq, a predicted model, not a curated record